GCCUGGGUGGCUUAGUCAGUUAAGCAUCUGACUUCAGCUCAGGACAUGAUCUCACGGUUUUGUGGGUUUGAGCCCCACAUCAGGCU
This is a transfer RNA of Felis catus (domestic cat), 86 nucleotides long. It matches the Rfam family "tRNA". Rfam says of the family: Transfer RNA (tRNA) molecules are approximately 80 nucleotides in length. The record is from Rfam. Lineage: Eukaryota; Metazoa; Chordata; Mammalia; Carnivora; Felidae.